This is a long non-coding RNA of Xyrauchen texanus (razorback sucker), 1202 nucleotides long. RefSeq lists it as uncharacterized. The transcript is spliced from 3 exons. The record is from RefSeq and is a predicted model, not a curated record. NCBI's taxonomy places the organism in Eukaryota, Metazoa, Chordata, Actinopteri, Cypriniformes, Catostomidae.
AGGCGCCAGACUUGAUUGCAUGGAGGGAAGAACGCAGUGUUCAAGGUGCCGUCUACCUGCUGUGUUAUAAACUGCAAUAGUCGUUCUCACGAUAGAAGUGGCAUAAAGCUUAAGAACGGAAAAUCCUUCUAUCGUUUUCCAGCGUGGAAAAAUAAUAGUACAAGCCAUGUUUCAGAGGUGACAAAAAGGUGACGAAUGGCAUGGAUAGCAGCAGUAAGGAGGCCCAAGAUUACCUACGAUAACACUCCACCACACAUGAUUGUGUGUUCAAAGCAUUUUCACAAAGGCUACAUAACAAUUUAUUUGGCGACUGUGUUGGAGUGUGAUCCUGUCUGGGCCCCUUCUCUGUACCUCGGCCAUACUGAGGUCAAAGCUACGAACACAGACCGGUUCAAGCGUUUUAGGAGAAGAGCGAUGAGGUUACAACAACAGCAAGCAACCCCCAUCGCUAGGCACUGACAACACUGGUCCUGAGGCUGAGUUGGAAGCUCACAUAAAUCAACCUCCAUCGCCAAGCACUGACCACACUGGUCCUGAGGCUGAGGAUAAUGGAUAAUGCAGCACCUUUAUACCAGACAACACUACACCUGCAACUGAGAUGGAAGGUCCCAUGAAUCCACCCCCAUCGCCGGGCACAGUUCACACCGGUCAUGAGACUGAGUUGAAUGAAGCAGCACAUUUGUUCCUAGGUAAAUAUUGGUAACAGACGCAAGUAGACCAGAGACCAGCGUGCCAGUGAUAAGCAGAACACCGAGAACUGUGGCUUUCUUCAGAAGCUCUUGCCUGUAGACCUAGUGUUAGCGGACCGUGGAUUUGAUAUUAAAGAAAGUGUUGCCCUUGUGAAAGGGUGCUACAAAAGAUGUGGAACAGACCAGGAAGUUAGCUCAUGUCAGGAUCCACGUGGAGCGAGUGAUAGGGUGUAUGCACUCUAAGUUUAACAUAUUAAAUGACACAAUACGCCUGGGAUUUGUGGUGCCUUGUGAGGGGGAGGAUAAGACUUUGCUGGAUAAAAUUGUGGUUGUGUGCUGUGCUUUGACCAAUAUGUGUCCAAGUAUUGUUGUGAAGCUGUCAUGUUAGAAUUAUACACCAUGCUCACAUCUAAUAUGUAAAUAUGUUGUUGUUGAUUUUUUUCAAAAGAUUUUGUAAUGUCACUUCUCACAUGUAAUGAUUUUUAGCCAUCUCUGUAAAUAAAAUACACAAAG